This 1690-nucleotide ribosomal RNA is filed under the name Urceolus sp. RNAcentral describes it as "SSU rRNA". It matches the Rfam family "Eukaryotic small subunit ribosomal RNA", at positions 621 to 1743 of the family's 1831-position model. Lineage: Eukaryota; Euglenozoa; Peranemea; Peranemida; Peranemidae. The record is from RNAcentral.
CAAACGUUCAUAGUUGACUGCGGAGUGCAGGGCUGCAGGGUGUUCGUCGCUGCGGGCAGUCGGUCUCCUCGUUCGGGAGUGGGGGGGGUCUCUCGCGGGCCCUGCCCCUCUCCCUUCGGCGGGGGGCGGACGUCCGUGCCGGCGAACAACAAAACCUCUGCAGAGCGUCCCUGUGCUCGCCGUAUGCGGAACCGAGUCCCCUUCGGAGAUCUCCUUGAAUGGUGGCCGAAGCGACGACGACCGACCGGCACGUCUUCCUGCGGCAAGCGGCGGCGGCGGCGACCACGUCGUCGCCGCUGUCGAUCCCAGGCGUCUCCGGGGCGUCCGUGGCUGCUACCGUGAACAACACAUCGCGCUUCAGGCAACCGACAGUGUCAGUCGCACGUCACAGCAUGGAAUAGCGAGGGAUCGACCAAGCUGGGAUCUGUCUUCUGUUGGUUUUGGAGGCCCACAUGGGCAAUGCGACACGGCGCCCCUCCGGCGACAAUGGCCCCUCGAACCGCCGCCGAUGUUGCGAGCGGCGUCCCCCGCCUCUCGCACUCUCUCCUCGACUCGACGACCUUCGCGGGUCGACGACAAGGGAGGAGGGCGAGCGGGUAGGGGGGCCCGUCCUGUGCCCGGCGGCCUCGGGGCGGUUCGCCGUCGCCGGAGCGCGGAGCAUGUCGAUCGGAACGAACGGGAGCCCUUCGGGGUGGAGCGUAUCGGGCAGCUAGAGGUGAAAUUCUUAGAUCUGCCCGAGACGACCCGCGGCGAAGGCGCUCUGCCAGCUCGGCUCCGUCAAUCAAAGAACGAGAGUGUGGGGAUCGAAGAUGAUCAGAUACCGUCGUAGUCCACUACCGUAAACUGUGCCGGCUUGGCAUAGGGAGAGUAUUCUGCCUGCAGACAUGUCUCGACCGGUUCCAACCCAUGCAAACGAGAAAUUCAAGCCUUUGGGUUCAGGGGGGAGUACCGUCGCAAGGCUGAAACUUAAAGGAAUUGACGGAAUGGCACCACAAGGCGUGGAGUCUGUGGCUCAAUUUGACUCAACACGGGGAAACUUACCUGGUCAGGAUGCUGCAAGGAUUGACAGAUUGCGAGCUCUCUCUUGAUUCAUUGGACGGUGGUGCAUGGCCGCUCCUGGUUGGUGAUGCAAAUUGUCUGGUUGAUUCCGAUAACGAGCGAGAUCUCUGCUCUCCAAUAGCCGUCGGUGUCCUCAGCGCGAGGGCGACCCCCCGACACGCGGCGCGCGCCUCGGCGCGCGUCUCGUCGAAGGGUCUAUCACGGUUGCCCUCCCGACGCCGUUCCGCUUCUCUCGGGGGUCCGUGUAGGUCGAAAACCGUUUACUAUUGUAUACACUAGAGUCAACAGCAGGUCUGUGAUGCUCCUAAAUGUCCUGGGCUGCACGCGCACUACACUGACACAGGGAACGAGCUCGUCUCUGCCGCCGACUUUGUGCAGGGGAGUCCCUGACCCGAAAGGGCUGGGCAACCUUGUCAGACUGCGCCGUAUUGGGGAUAGAUGAUUGCAACUGUUUGCCUUGAACAAGGAAUGCCUAGUAGGUGCAGGUCAACAGCCUGCUCCGACUGAGUCCCUGCCAUUUGUACACACCGCCCGUCGUUGCCACCGAUGAAAGCGAGACAGAGAACACAGAAGGCACACCGGCGGCGGGGUGCCUGCGAGAGGGGCAACCCCCUCGCGUCGCCCCCCCCCC